CGCGAUUUUCCAAAUGUCUAUUGCGCAUAAAGGAAGUACGUCAAUUGCCCACAAUUCUCUGCGACCUCUUAGUGGGGUAUUUGCGGCAAAUGUAAUUACAUACAUUGAUAGCUUUUCAUAUUCUUAGUCUUUUUUAAAUAAACAGUCUAUAGCGAUAUAUUUGUAUAUUUUCGUAUUUGAAAUAACGUUUAUAUACUAUAUAUUUCGGUUUAAAAAAUAGAUUUAAUGAAUAGAUUGAAGAAGUAAAGAGAUAUGAACCGGAAGUCAUUCUAAGCCAAAAGAUAUUUAUGUAUUUUUAAACACAUAUACUGAUGAAAAUAUUUUCGUAUUCCACCCAUUCAAGAAUUUCUAUCAAUAGGAUAAUGUCUCUUAAUAAUAAUACGCGAUUCGACCAAAAUUCAACAUUUGUGCUGAUAAACAAAAUU
This is a long non-coding RNA of Bombus impatiens (common eastern bumble bee), 425 nucleotides long. RefSeq lists it as uncharacterized. The record is from RefSeq and is a predicted model, not a curated record. NCBI's taxonomy places the organism in Eukaryota, Metazoa, Arthropoda, Insecta, Hymenoptera, Apidae. The transcript has 2 exons.